UCAAAAAAGUUUGGAGACUACUGCUCUAGACACCAAGCACCGUUCAGGAAAGCCUUUCUGAAGAGGACUAGAGCUGUGAAACAGCUCGGUGGAGGGGCUCCAGAAACUCUCCUUGUGGCGGAGACAGGGAGAUUGGGUUCAACUGCAGUAGGACAAGGAAUCAGAGAACACAGGGAAGAAAGGUACAUAGGAGACAUUUCUCUAAAUGUCCUGGGGAAAGCCAGCUCAGACAAUGAGGACUGUCCUGAACACAGCUCCAGGGACAGAAGGUAGGUCUCACAGUCAGGGCCGUCCCUUGGGUAGGGUGAAUCGGGGCGAUCACUCUGGGCCCCGUACUUUGGGGGGCCCCUGCGGGCCGGCGCAAUUGGCCAGUGUGGUUGGUGCCAGAAGAGACGAAUCCAUCACUUCCGCCCUGGGCACUGCGCUCCCCGAGGGAUGGCCGUGUUCACAGUAGAGCCAAAAUAGGGUCUGUCACUCACAACUCCCCUUUAGGAAAGGAAACCCUGGUCUCAGAUCAGGUACUAGUAAUUAGACGAAUUGGAGUUUAACCUUAUAUGGGAUUGCUUAUUAGAAAAUGCAGCCUACAAGUAUAACUAAUGCUACCCAUGCAAAGACCCAAUGGUAAAAGAGUUUGACCAGCAAAUAGUGUAUCUCAAUGGGAAUAAUAGUUUUACUGUUUAUUAUUAUUCGUAUAUUUGUAUUAUAGCAGCACCAACAAAUCACAGGAAUUAGAAAAGGAAAAUGCCAUUUAAUACACUCUUGUAGACCAUUUCCCUUCGGCCAUGUUAAGAUUAUUCCCUAUGUAUAUUCUUUGUCUAGUCUUGUUUAAAAUGUACCAAGUGAUGAUGCUUUUGCCACUUACUGUGAUAGACAACUCCACAGCAUAAUAGAUCUUGGUGACAGGAUUUUCCUUUUAGUCAUCAGAUGUUCAGUAGCAGGGGGGUGUAUUGGGCUUUGGGAAUGAAGCAGAGCAUCUUGAGGAACUGAGUUCAGUGGAGACUGAGGGAAGAAAAUCAAGUCAAAAACUUCCUUUUCUUUAAUUAGAGGAACAAAAAUAUCAUCACCGCUUCUCUCUCUGCUCUUCUUGAUUGAUGGAGGGCCAGUCCUGUUUCGCUGUGUUUAUAAAAGCUUUUGAGAGAGUCAACAGAUGCUAGAUUUGGAAAGCCAAAUACAGUGUUUGUUUUGGAAGGGAGAAUUUUUCCUAAGGCUGGUUGACUUGUGUUACUUCUCUUUGGGAGCUUUCCCCAGUUUUGUCAUUGUUGAUUAUUCUUUGAUCCAGCAUGCUGAGAUUGGGAAGUCUUGGGAUUCCCAUUAGCAAUAGCUUCCUUUUUGACCAACUCUGCUUUUCUGAUGGACCCACCUCAGGUCUCUUUCAAUCAUGUCUGAUACUUGUGAUUUUGCAGUUCUGUUCAGAUGAGAAUCCCCAGCAGCCUUGCAGCACUAACCCCCUGAAAUGUCAGAUGGCAGAACUAGAACUUGGGAAUCAGGAGCAGUUCCUACAAGAGGAAGAACUGGCUUGGAGACUGCAGGAGGAGGAGUAGACUCAUGCAAGAGGAAGGCGGAACCAGGAACGCAAUGACAACUGUCGAGCAGCCCAGGUGGCUCAGGAUGAGGUAACAGGCUAGAUGAGAUUGCUAGAUAUAUGCAGAACCAGGAACUGAAAGCCCAGUGGAGAUCCCAUGAGACAAACCUGGGGACAGAGAACAGUGAUGAGGGGAGCAACUUAUCUGAGCCAAGGAGAAGCAAGAACAAAGAAGGCAACAGUUUCCUCAAAAUACUGUUGAAGAUCUGGACCCAGCUUUUAAGUCAAAAAAGAACCACCUGCUGAAGUGUUUGCAUUCUGCUCCCAAGCUGCCCAGUUACACACUGUCCCAGUUGAUGGCCUCUUUGAUUAUAUGGAUACCACCAUCGGACCUGCCUUUAUUCACCGACCAAACGUCAGCCUAAAACGCUAGGACGCCAAAAAUCCAGGGACAAGAAGGAAGGCUGUAAGCAGCAGUGAAUCCUAGAGCCUUCACCUACAGCCUACUUCUUCUAGCAACAAAAUAUAUUUCUUUGCCAUAACUGUGAGUUGAAUGAUGACUCCUUCUUUCUGGCUUAAUUACCAAUGGCUAGAUCUACAUAACACAAUUCCUUCCCUGUUCAAGGUUUUCUUUAUUACUUUGAUGGUGCCUUUUACUGAACUCAGGUGAAUGCACAGUAAGGUUGCUAUUCCUCGGUGUUAAUGAAUGGACAGUCUAUCGACAUAGUUGCUGUAUAUGAAAAUUUAGUUUUAGAUGAAAGUUUAACUCUGAGAGAAGUAAUUUGUCAUGUUGUUGUUAAUACAAUCAGGGAUGAACCCAAAAGUCUGCGUGCCACAUUUUUCCAGGAGCUUUAGGGAGCAAAUUGUUUCAAACAAUUAGAUGUGCCAUCAUGAAUUAUUGAGUCAAAACGUGAUGCUACUAUUGCAGUUGACAUUCAACUGUACAGUAUAUUACUUGUUUACCUGCCGAUGGGAUUAGAUCUGAAUUCCUUAUUUCAUUUUGUUAGAAUUAAGAUUUCAGCACAGCUGCAGUGAGACUAGACAUGUGUGAACUAAUUGCUCAUUAUAUUUUCCUCAAACUGCUUGGACAAACUUCUCAUUUUUUUCAGAAGAGGAGAAAAUAAUGGCUUGAAAAUAUUUUCCAGAAAGUAUUGAAGAAACUAAACUGGAAAAGAUGUGAACAAUAGCUUAACAUUUCUCUUGAAGACUGAUGUAAAUUGAGGAGACUGCAUGUGAUACUGCAAACUGCAUCAGACACUUCUCUGACAUGCUGCAAGGGAAAGGAGCUGUGUUUACUGUAUAUGUGUGAAAUAAUGGCACUUUUGAACCCCCAUUUAUCAUCAAGAACAUGUGCUUAUCUGGGAUCUAGAGUGGGAACAGGCCAUUCAUUGUGAACGUAGUAAAGGCAGGUACUACUGGAAUAUGUUCUAGGAAGUACAUGAGCCCAUGGCUAAGACUUUAAUAAAGACACUUCACAGAUCACUAUUGAUAAUUCAAAUACUGUAAAAGUUUUGAGAUAUGUUAAAUAGAUUUGCUACAGACAUUAUUCACUUGAGAUUACCUUAUUUCCUAUAGAGUUGUUUUUGACAUGGAGCAUAUUGAAGUGCAAAGCACAUUAUUUAAAAUUGGUGCUAAUGUUUUUAGUUUUACACUUUCAUGUGUGUUCAUUUUCUGCUCCUUGCACCUUCCAUAAAAUACAGUAGCACAGGCUACUGUUCAGCAGUUCUGUUGGCAAAUAAAAACUGUGUCCCUUGUAGGAAAUGCCCUGGUAGUGUUCUGAACCUUCCUUUGCAUUUGUACCAUGUGUUAAUUUCAGUGUGUAUUUCAAGCUCUGUUUAUAAACCUACUUGUAGAUGUAUGCAUUAUGCCCUUCAUAUUCCAAGUUAAAUAAAAUAGCAGUUUUUUAAAUGGAAGUUAGCCCGAAGA
Molecule: long non-coding RNA, 3448 nt
Organism: Trachemys scripta elegans
Lineage: Eukaryota; Metazoa; Chordata; Testudines; Emydidae
Exons: 5
Source: RefSeq, a predicted model, not a curated record